Mustela lutreola (European mink) is the source of this 4319-nucleotide long non-coding RNA. RefSeq lists it as uncharacterized. The record is from RefSeq and is a predicted model, not a curated record. NCBI's taxonomy places the organism in Eukaryota, Metazoa, Chordata, Mammalia, Carnivora, Mustelidae. The transcript has 5 exons.
CUCUGCUUAGUAGGAGCAGAUAAUUGGAAGUGUGGGAACAGGGUGAGCUUUCAGAUCUGUGCGACUCCAUGGCUAAGGGUUACCCCGUCUUCCCAUCUUGCUUUCUGUGCUUCAGUGUCCGUCCUGCGUUUCGCUCCCUCUCCCGGUGGCGUGGCAGUGGCGUGGCGACAAUGCAUGUCUAUCCAGAGAUGCGCUUCCAGAAACUCAAAAGAUUGAAGGAACUACACCUACAUCGUCUCAAAGUAUCUCCCCAAAGACAUCAAUAACAGAGGGACAAAAUUAACUUUGCUGUGUGGACAUCUGGCCAAUGCCCCCUUAAUCAGGCAGUAAGUUGACCCCAUGGAGAGCAGGAAGAGCUGAUGUGCUGAGUCCCUGGGAUGGGACGCACGGAGGACAAGGAUGGAAUUUAUACACCACCACACUGAUCACUUCUAUGGCUUUCCUGCCCAACGCCUUUAGCGUUAAGAAAGUCUCAGACAGACCCAGAAGGAGAAGCGUGCCACAGAGCAGCUCACUGGUCCUUUCAUAAAAAUGCCAAGGAAAACGUCAAGGUUGCAAAAGAGAAGAUAGAGACAAUCUUCUAGUUGUAAAGGACACUGAAGAGGCAUUGAGUGGGGGUGUUUCUUUGGGGUUUUUGUUUUGUUUCGCUAUAAAAGGACAAUUGCUAUUGGGACAGUGGGUGAAAUUUUAAUGUCUGUGGUUUAUGAGGAUGGUCUCCAUGUUACACUGGUGAUAAUCUUAACUGUGCUCACAUUAAAGACCGCCCUCGGUUUUAGGAAGAAUUUAGGGGCGAGGGGGUGUAAAGUUUGCAACUUACUCUGGAACAGUUCAGAAUGUUUGUAUAUAUGUCUGUGCAGAGGAGAGAGGUGGGUGUGGGAUCAGGACAUCCAGUGCAGAAAAUGUAAACGUUGAGAGAAUCUGAGUACUGGGGAACUAUUUGGACAAAUUUCCUUUAAGUCUAAAAUGACAGCAAGAUAAAAAGUUUUAAAAGGAAGAACUUUUUUCCCCCAGAAGCCCCAACAAAUAUCUUUUCUGCUCUCAGUGACCAGAAUAAUUGGGUCUUCAGCGCACUGGCUUGUGGACAGCAUGUUCAGGCUCUCGAAACCUACCUUUGGAAGGAGGAAGGGUGAACUUUCUCAGUCUCUUGCCAUCCCCUCUGGGGCAGGAGUGGAUGAGUAUCCCCACGACACUGGAACACAUACAAGAACUCUGGCUGAAACGUGGCAAAAACCCAGCAGACUCUUCACCAUAGGACCAAGUAAACACGGGAUGGGAACUGCAGUGUGCACUAGGGAAGGGGUCUUCAUGUCCACACUCCAAACUACAAAGAGCCACGUGGGCUCAAGACAGACAAUGGGCUCAGCCACAGAAAUGCAAAGAAAGAGGCAUUUCUUGCACGCAGUUUGGUGGGAGGGCAUGUGGUUGGGUUCUCUUCAUUUACUUUUCCAGAAUGGGUUAAGUAAGAAAGCGAGGGCUGGUGAUGCUCUCUGCUCUGACUCUUCAGCGGUCUCCAGGUAACCACCUCUGGGCUUCCAGCCUACCUGUCCCUCCAUCCCCUCAAGCACCACCCCUCAUCCUUCACAGUCUUUCCCAGCAAAGCCAUUUACAUCUUCCUGUCACUUUCCGCCUCCCUUCUCCUCCAGAGGAGAAAUGACGGAUGCCCGGAAAUGAAGGUGGUAGCAGGCAAGGAUCUUCGUGGUCCCGUGUCUUGCUCUCACUCGACCCCUGUCCCAGGGCUUUUGUUCUAUAAUUGAGAUGAGACAGCUCCCUUCCGCGGGGGUGGGGGAGAGAUGUGGCGAUGGCAUGAAGGUAUAGUGAGCCCCGGGCUCUGCCUGGUAGAGAUGGGGACACCACCACCCCCCCCCCCCGCCGCCUGGCGAGGACCAGGACUUUUAGGAAGCAAAGUGCAGGCAUACAAGCCCCUCCUUGAUUCUGGGGUUCCUUCCUCUGGAAAACUCCCUCAUCCCCGGGGCCAAGAGGGAGAGAAACAAAGACACAGAUCAAUUAAAAACCAGAAACAGUGGGAGAUCACACACACACACACACACACACACACGCAGGUUUUUGUCCACCCCAUAGAUCCUGACUGAGUGCCAGGCGCCGUUCCAGGCACUCUGGCACGGUUUUCCAGCCUCAGGGCUCUGGACAUCUGGAGCUGGACUGUUCUUUGGGGGCAACGUCCCUGACCUCCUCCCCCAGGAGGCCAGAAGCGCUCCCAAGUUGUGAUGCGCCAAGACAUCUUCGGGCGUGGCCACAUGUCCCCAGAGGAGCAGAGCUGCUCUGGGGGAGCACCUCUGCGCUCAUGAGGAUCGGGAGCACCUCUGGGCUCAUGAGGAUCGAGCACCUCUGGGCUCAUGAGGAUCGGGAGCACCUCUGGGCUCAUGAGGAUCGAGAACCCUUGCUGAGCCCGUUCUGGGGAGGGGGAGAUGCCCGGAGAACUAGGAAACACCCGAGCAGGUGCGUCGUGCAGGACGGAAGCAAGGGACGCAGCAAGAGCCCUGAAGGUGCGCAGAGACCAGAGAACCCAGCACUGCAGGGCCAGACAGGAAGGGGCACGGAUGGAAGCGGGGUACGCAGACUUGGGCUGGGUCCCGAAGAGGAGGCGCAGAAAGGCAGGAGGAAGGGCAACUGGUGCAUCUCAGAGCUAAGCACCUGCAGGGGAAACGGAGGUGAAACAGAGAAACCUUUCCCCUCCGGCAGCGUCCUCGUCCUGACCCCACAGGCCAGCUCACGAAAGCCCUUCCGUGCACAAAGUCUCAGGAGCACCUCCACCCUUGGCACGCUCUCCCAUCGCCCCCCUGAUUGCGCACACCCUCCCUCCCUCCGCGCUUCCUGCCUCGCCUCCUUCCUCCUCGGGAGGCAUAAAAGCCACAGUCAGGCACUGGGCCUCCAGAAAGCCCAGGAAAGCAGCGGACUCCAGUGAGCAUCCCGUAGCAACCAGCGCCUACCCUGCCGGCCCUCCGAUGGCUCCCCCUGUCCGUCUGGUCCUGCUUCUUGCCAUCCUGCUCAGCCUAGUGGAGACUCCCACCUCUGUGCCUGUCCGCCAGGGACGAGGAGGCUGGACCCUCAACAGCGUGGGCUACCUGCUGGGUCCCGGUGAGUGUGCCCGCUCCCAGUGCCAAUGACUCCCCCUGCGGCACAGGGAGGUCAGAACAACUCCUGGUGGAGGGGGACCAGGUGACACUCAGCCGUCACUUCCUCCUCUUCUGGGCCCCUCUGUCCAGGGCUCCCCGUUUCCCCGAAGGCGUUUUCACUGUGUGCUACCAAGGGACCAUUAAAGCCCUACAUCCCCGUGAUGCUCAGGGUGGGGACCACUGAUGGUCCAAGGAAACCCAGGCCCCGGGGACCACGUGGCCAAGCAACGAGGACCUGGGGUUCAUGCCCAGACAUAGGCGGGUUCGGCUUAGCAGUGGGUGAUGCUGGGAGACAGAUGCGAAUCUCAGAGCCACAGCCUUCUCACCGGCCAGCUCGGAAGGCUGGCGGUCCUGCAGGUCUGGCAGCCAUGCUCCGUGAGGGGAACAGUGUGUGCGGGUUGCUGGAUUCCCUGUGUUACUGCUGUCAUGUCCCAGACCAUAGGCCCAGCUCUUCCCUCCCUUCCCCUGCCCGGUGCUCCACCUUCCCCAGAGCGCGGACCGCGGCAGGAAGGAGAAGACAGCCCUGGAGGUCCUAGACUUGUGGAAGGCCCUUGAUGGGCUCCCCCAUCCCCGCCCUCGGCGGGCCUCCAAGAGGAGCCUGAGGGAGAACUCUGCCAAACCAGAGACUGCAGAUCUGGGCCAGUUCAGCGAGAAAGCCCCCAGGGAGGGCGAUGCCCAGCGGUCCUAGAGAUCUCCAGACCUCUGCUCCGUGUCCUUCUGUCCAGCUCCUCGUGAACCCCUCCCUGUCUCGCUUCCUCCACUGAGACUAAGAUCCUGAAAUUAAGUCCCUGAGUCUCAUGCAGGAAAUUUGGGGAGCGUUGGGAGACUUCUUAAAAGUCACCAGACCGUGGCAGGUUUCACUGAUUUAUCCUUGAAUAAGUAGAAAGUGUUGUUAACAAACCCAAGAAUGAAAUCUGGGGCCAUUUAGGAGAGUUGGGAUAACGAGGGAAUAUUUCUGCCAUUUGUGCGAAGUAACUGCCUUCUUUCAGAACCAUAACACGAGCAGACUAAUAUGGUAUGAAUGUCCCAUUGCAUCUAAGCCUCUACAAUGUCUGCUCAGAAAGAUUCUGCCAAGUAGCGGGCUUGCCUUCCCUCGUUCCCCCACCCCCGCUGGGCAUCCUCCAGCUCGAAAGGGGGAGGGGUACCCUGGAGCAGAGUGGAGAGAAUAAAACAUUUCUUUGCAAA